UACGUAGGUGGCAAGCGUUGUCCGGAAUUACUGGGCGUAAAGGGCGUGUAGGUGGUUAUACAAGUCAGAUGUGAAAUACCGGGGCUUAACCGCGGGGGUGCAUUUGAAACUGUAUAACUUGAGGGCAGGAGAGGAAAGUGGAAUUCCUAGUGUAGCGGUGAAAUGCGUAGAUAUUAGGAGGAACACCAGUGGCGAAGGCGACUUUCUGGACUGACCCUGACACUGAGGCGCGAAAGCGUGGGGAG
Molecule: ribosomal RNA, 245 nt
Filed under: uncultured Desulfitibacter sp.
Lineage: Bacteria; Bacillati; Bacillota; Clostridia; Neomoorellales; Desulfitibacteraceae
Description: partial 16S ribosomal RNA
Rfam family: Bacterial small subunit ribosomal RNA
Source: RNAcentral